Molecule: long non-coding RNA, 411 nt
Filed under: Zea mays
Lineage: Eukaryota; Viridiplantae; Streptophyta; Magnoliopsida; Poales; Poaceae
Description: drought responsive lncRNA
Source: RNAcentral
CAGCUCUCUCAUUCGCCUGACCGACAUCGUGAUUGGUUCACACUUCAAAACCUUCUGUUGCCUGAUCUAUUACAUUUUCAGAUGACAACAACACUACGAAUAAAAGGAGUGACGCCUACAGUUAGCCAUAGCAUCUGAUGCUUUUGUUAAAUGCAGCUCAGACUGAUGAUAUGGUUAACUAGAUGUAAUAUAUAACUACUACUUUUGAUUUGAUGCCCACUGCGGUUCUAGGACACCCAUAGCAAGAAACGACCCUCUUUUUGCAUGUAUACAUGUCAGUAUCUCAUACUACCAAAACAAACACUUGAUGAAGACAUAGAUGUGUAGCCUUGCAAUGUCAUACUUUAAAUCUACAAAUAUCCCCUCCCUAUGUAAAUGUACCAAAUUUAUUGGCACAUCAUAUUUGCCGCU